Non-coding RNA from Petromyzon marinus (sea lamprey), 572 nucleotides. The record is from RefSeq and is a predicted model, not a curated record. Lineage: Eukaryota; Metazoa; Chordata; Hyperoartia; Petromyzontiformes; Petromyzontidae.
ACUUAGACACUGAGACACUCACUUGGACACUUAGACACUCACUUAUACACUUAGACACUCACUUAGACACUUAGACACUCACUUAGACACUCGCUGGCUGGCACGCCUCAAGAAGGCCAUCUUCAACCCUGAGCUGUACCAGGACAUCGCCACGUGGAUCAGGGUGUAUUGGUGGUCCGUGCUGCUGAUGCUACUGGCGCUGAUUCUCUUGAUGGCAGCGUUCAUCCGCGUCUGCAGCGUUCACACUCCCACCAGUAACCCAAAGCUUCCUCCUCACAAGCACAUCUCUGACACGCUGCGACGAGGCCGACGGAGACAGGGGGCUGGGGCCGCGGCUCGCCCCCCCCAGGGCCCCCCCCAGGGCCCCCCACAGGGCCCCCUACAGGGACCCCUACAGGGAGUUCCAUCAAAGAGAGGGGGUAGUCACUCAGAGGCCAUGGAGUUACAGGGGAGGGCUCGCUAGCUACCACCACAACUAUCACCACUACUACAACUACUACUAAUACCACUACUACUACUACAACAACAAUUACUACCACCACUACUACUACUACCACAAUUACUACAACUAC